CAGAGGAGCUUGCUCCUCGUGGUGACCAGUGGCGGACGGGUGAGUAAUGUCUGGGAAACUGCCCGAUGGAGGGGGAUAACUACUGGAAACGGUAGCUAAUACCGCAUAACGUCGCAAGACCAAAGUGGGGGACCUCCGGGCCUCACACCAUCGGAUGUGCCCAGAUGGGAUUAGCUUGUAGGCGGGGUAACGGCCCACCUAGGCGACGAUCCCUAGCUGGUCUGAGAGGAUGACCAGCCACACUGGAACUGAGACACGGUCCAGACUCCUACGGGAGGCAGCAGUGGGGAAUAUUGCACAAUGGGCGCAAGCCUGAUGCAGCCAUGCCGCGUGUAUGAAGAAGGCCUUCGGGUUGUAAAGUACUUUCAGCGGGGAGGAAGGUGCUGAGGUUAAUAACCUCAUCAAUUGACGUUACCCGCAGAAGAAGCACCGGCUAACUCCGUGCCAGCAGCCGCGGUAAUACGGAGGGUGCAAGCGUUAAUCGGAAUUACUGGGCGUAAAGCGCACGCAGGCGGUCUGUUAAGUCAGAUGUGAAAUCCCCGGGCUUAACCUGGGAACUGCAUUUGAAACUGGCAGGCUUGAGUCUCGUAGAGGGGGGUAGAAUUCCAGGUGUAGCGGUGAAAUGCGUAGAGAUCUGGAGGAAUACCGGUGGCGAAGGCGGCCCCCUGGACGAAGACUGACGCUCAGGUGCGAAAGCGUGGGGAGCAAACAGGAUUAAAAUACCCUGGUUAGUCCACCCCGUAAACGAUGUCGACUUGGAAGGUUGUUCCCUUUGAGGAAUGGCUU
Molecule: ribosomal RNA, 786 nt
Filed under: uncultured bacterium
Lineage: Bacteria
Description: bacterial SSU rRNA
Rfam family: Bacterial small subunit ribosomal RNA
Source: RNAcentral